GGUUAAGUGACUAAGCGUACACGGUGGAUGCCUUGGCAGUCAGAGGCGAUGAAGGACGUAGUAACUUGCGAUAAGCGUAGAUGAGGCAGUAACAGCCACUUGAGUCUACGAUUUCCGAAUGGGGAAACCCACUGGCAUAAGCCAGUAUCAUUGAGUGAAUACAUAGCUCAAUGAAGCGAACCGGGAGAACUGAAACAUCUAAGUACCCCGAGGAAAAGAAAUCAACCGAGAUUCCGAAAGUAGCGGCGAGCGAAAUUGGAUUAGCCCUUAAGCUUUACAUGUGUUAGACGAACGGUCUGGAAAGUCCGACGAUACAGGGUGAUAGUCCCGUAGUUGUAGACGCAUGUUCAGUGAAAUCGAGUAGGGCGGGACACGUGUUAUCCUGUCUGAAUAUGGGGGGACCAUCCUCCAAGGCUAAAUACUCCUGACUGACCGAUAGUGAACCAGUACCGUGAGGGAAAGGCGAAAAGAACCCCUGUGAGGGGAGUGAAAUAGAACCUGAAACCGUGUACGUACAAGCAGUAGGAGCACCUUCGUGGUGUGACUGCGUACCUUUUGUAUAAUGGGUCAGCGACUUAUAUUCAGUGGCAAGGUUAACCAUCUAGGGGAGCCGUAGGGAAACCGAGUCUUAACUGGGCGCCAUAGUCUCUGGAUAUAGACCCGAAACCGAGUGAUCUAGCCAUGGGCAGGUUGAAGGUUGAGUAACAUCAACUGGAGGACCGAACCGACUAAUGUUGAAAAAUUAGCGGAUGACUUGUGGCUAGGGGUGAAAGGCCAAUCAAACUCGGAGAUAGCUGGUUCUCCCCGAAAGCUAUUUAGGUAGCGCCUCGGACGAAUACUACUGGGGGUAGAGCACUGUUAAGGCUAGGGGGUCAUCCCGACUUACCAACCCUUUGCAAACUCCGAAUACCAGUAAGUACUAUCCGGGAGACACACGGCGGGUGCUAACGUCCGUCGUGGAGAGGGAAACAACCCAGACCGCCAGCUAAGGUCCCAAAUUACAGCUAAGUGGGAAACGAUGUGGGAAGGCUUAGACAGCUAGGAUGUUGGCUUAGAAGCAGCCAUCAUUUAAAGAAAGCGUAAUAGCUCACUAGUCGAGUCGGCCUGCGCGGAAGAUGUAACGGGGCUAAGUUGUAAACCGAAGCUGCGGCAAUGUUCUUUGAACAUUGGGUAGGGGAGCGUUCUGUAAGCCGUUGAAGGUGUGUUGUAAAGCAUGCUGGAGGUAUCAGAAGUGCGAAUGCUGACAUGAGUAACGACAAGGGGGGUGAAAA
This 1271-nucleotide ribosomal RNA is filed under the name Vibrio vulnificus. RNAcentral describes it as "partial 23S ribosomal RNA". It matches the Rfam family "Bacterial large subunit ribosomal RNA", at positions 1 to 1327 of the family's 2925-position model. The record is from RNAcentral. Lineage: Bacteria; Pseudomonadati; Pseudomonadota; Gammaproteobacteria; Vibrionales; Vibrionaceae.